Trematomus bernacchii (emerald rockcod) is the source of this 249-nucleotide long non-coding RNA. RefSeq lists it as uncharacterized. NCBI's taxonomy places the organism in Eukaryota, Metazoa, Chordata, Actinopteri, Perciformes, Nototheniidae. The transcript is spliced from 3 exons. The record is from RefSeq and is a predicted model, not a curated record.
CUUUUCCAGCUGCAGGACUACGCCCUGCCCUCCGUCCUGGAGUCCUUCACCGGAUGGACCACGGUGCGUCUGUAUCCGUUCCAGAUCCACAGCAUCGCUCUCUCCUCCUUCGCCUCCAUCAUGGGACCCUUCGGAGGAUUCUUCACCAGCGGCUUCAAGAGAGCCUUCAAGAUCAAAGAUUUUGCCAACACGCUCCCAGGUCACGGUGGCAUUAUGGACCGGUUCGACUGCCAGUACCUCAUGGCCACA